RNAcentral lists this ribosomal RNA (207 nucleotides) under uncultured bacterium. RNAcentral describes it as "partial 16S ribosomal RNA". It matches the Rfam family "Bacterial small subunit ribosomal RNA", at positions 568 to 775 of the family's 1533-position model. The record is from RNAcentral.
CGCGUAGGUGGUCUGUCAAGUCGGGGUGAAAUCUUUCGGCUCAACCGGAAAACUGCCUUCGAUACUGACAGGCUGGAGGGAGGUAGGGGUUGCGGGAACUACCAGUGGAGCGGUGAAAUGCGUUGAUAUUGGUAGGAACGCCGGUGGCGAAAGCGCGCAACUGGACCUUUUCUGACACUGAGGCGCGAAAGCUAGGGGAGCAAACGG